RNAcentral lists this ribosomal RNA (500 nucleotides) under uncultured Bacillota bacterium. RNAcentral describes it as "bacterial SSU rRNA". It matches the Rfam family "Bacterial small subunit ribosomal RNA", at positions 355 to 845 of the family's 1533-position model. Lineage: Bacteria; Bacillati; Bacillota. The record is from RNAcentral.
UAGGGAAUCUUCCGCAAUGGACGAAAGUCUGACGGAGCAACGCCGCGUGAGCGAAGAAGGCCUUCGGGUCGUAAAGCUCUGUUGUUAGGGAAGAACAAGUACGAGAGUAACUGCUCGUACCUUGACGGUACCUAACCAGAAAGCCACGGCUAACUACGUGCCAGCAGCCGCGGUAAUACGUAGGUGGCAAGCGUUGUCCGGAAUUAUUGGGCGUAAAGCGCGCGCAGGCGGUCCUUUAAGUCUGAUGUGAAAGCCCACGGCUCAACCGUGGAGGGUCAUUGGAAACUGGGGGACUUGAGUGCAGAAGAGGAGAGUGGAAUUCCACGUGUAGCGGUGAAAUGCGUAGAGAUGUGGAGGAACACCAGUGGCGAAGGCGACUCUCUGGUCUGUAACUGACGCUGAGGCGCGAAAAGCGUGGGGAGCAAACAGGAUUAGAUACCCUGGUAGUCCACGCCGUAAACGAUGAGUGCUAAGUGUUAGAGGGUUUCCGCCCUUUAGUG